AUUGAACGCUGGCGGCAGGCCUAACACAUGCAAGUCGAACGGUAACAGAAAGCAGCUUGCUGCUUUGCUGCCGAGUGGCGGACGGGUGAGUAAUGUCUGGGAAACUGCCUGAUGGAGGGGGAUAACUACUGGAAACGGUAGCUAAUACCGCAUAACGUCGCAAGACCAAAGAGGGGGACCUUCGGGCCUCUUGCCAUCGGAUGUGCCCAGAUGGGAUUAGCUAGUAGGUGGGGUAACGGCUCACCUAGGCGACGAUCCCUAGCUGGUCUGAGAGGAUGACCAGCCACACUGGAACUGAGACACGGUCCAGACUCCUACGGGAGGCAGCAGUGGGGAAUAUUGCACAAUGGGCGCAAGCCUGAUGCAGCCAUGCCGCGUGUAUGAAGAAGGCCUUCGGGUUGUAAAGUACUUUCAGCGGGGAGGAAGGGAGUAAAGUUAAUACCUUUGCUCAUUGACGUUACCCGCAGAAGAAGCACCGGCUAACUCCGUG
This 490-nucleotide ribosomal RNA is filed under the name uncultured bacterium. RNAcentral describes it as "partial 16S ribosomal RNA". It matches the Rfam family "Bacterial small subunit ribosomal RNA", at positions 30 to 507 of the family's 1533-position model. The record is from RNAcentral.